UACGUAGGGGGCAAGCGUUGUCCGGAAUCAUUGGGCGUAAAGCGCGUGUAGGCGGCCCGGUAAGUCCGCUGUGAAAGUCCAGGGCUCAACCCUGGGAUGCCGGUGGAUACUGUCGGGCUCGAGUCCGGAAGAGGCGAGUGGAAUUCCUGGUGUAGCGGUGAAAUGCGCAGAUAUCAGGAGGAACACCAAUGGCGAAGGCAGCUCGCUGGGACGUGACUGACGCUGAGACGCGAAGCGUGGGGAGCAAACAGG
This 252-nucleotide ribosomal RNA is filed under the name uncultured bacterium. RNAcentral describes it as "partial 16S ribosomal RNA". It matches the Rfam family "Bacterial small subunit ribosomal RNA", at positions 524 to 776 of the family's 1533-position model. The record is from RNAcentral.